RNAcentral lists this long non-coding RNA (6296 nucleotides) under Marmota monax (woodchuck). The record is from RNAcentral. Lineage: Eukaryota; Metazoa; Chordata; Mammalia; Rodentia; Sciuridae.
CAGCUUUGGAGUUUUCAGGAUGCUUGUCAGGGUGACAUUCCAGAGCCCUGACCUUAAAAUUCUGCCAGGAUUUGUUCAACCGAAGAGAGUUCAUCACAUCCCAGUAAUGUGUAGUGUCUUCACUGUCUUCCAGCUUAGACCACGGUAACCAAGUCUGGAACCAAGGCAGGCUUUUCCUGGCAUGGAGUGGACGACCGGUUGAGGAGAGGGUCCUAGGGAGAAGUUGCAGCUCUCACCAAGGUCCAGACGAGGCGGUAGAGUUUGAGAGAGGUGAGGAUCAUGCAGAGGCUCAGGAAAUGAUGACAAGUGAUGGGAUGUCGGGUCCUCCUCAGGCUCUCCAGCUCGAGUGCAUCCUUGUUUCAGCGGCUGUCUCUUUUUAUUUAAUUAUUUUUAAAUUAGGGACAGGGCCUCACUAAGGUGCCCAGGCUGACCUGGACCUUGCUAUGUUCCUCCCUCAGCCUCCCCGUCUCUGGGAUUACAGUGUGUGCCACUGGCAUAGCAUGGUGGCCAACGCUUUGACUUGUUCAGACCUUCUCAGUCUGCACAGUCAUCUAGGGUGCAUCUACCCCACCUGUUUUUCUCUGACCCUCCCUCAGGUCAGGCUUGUGCUGCAGUCUGCUGGUUUCCCUAGCUCCCUUACUGUUUCCUCUUGCAGAUUUUUCCCCUGAUAAAAUCGUGUGUGUUUAAUUCCAUCUUGGCAUCAGCUUCUUAGAGGACCCAGACUAAUACAAGGCAGCAGGAGUGUCCAAAAAACACAAUAGUUGGCAAGGUGGAGCUGUGCUGCCUUGCCUCUUGCCUGGCAGAUGAAGAGGAUGCUGUCUCCAGUUGGAAGUGGGGCAUGGCACAGGGUGGUAGGCUAAUUGCUAAAGAUUCCAUUAAUGCUGACCUGGGGAAAGGUCACCGCUGGAGGAGAUGCUGAGGAAGAGGCAGGUGUGAAAUUUCAGGCCUUUCAGGAAUAUGAAGGAGAAAUGUUUAUAGAGAGUGAAGUUGGCUGGUUGCAGCUGAGCUGUAGUGAUACUUUACAGAAGGUUACUGCAAGACUGAGGGCUGUUAACGAUCGAUUAGUGAGUGGCCAAGUAUGAGAUUUGGGGAAUCUCAAUGGGAGCUACAAAAAGUGUUUUUGAACAGUAGGCUGAAGACCUGGUUGCUGGUCUAGAUCCACAGUCCCUUGUCCACAGUUGUCUGCAUUGUCCAACCACAGGGACUUCGGUGAACAAGGGUGUGUUGGUGAUGGACACCUGGAGUCCUGAAAUAUGGUGGGGUGUCAGGAUGGAUGCCUUUGGCAACAUUGUCCCUGGCUCUCCCUGGGGUUUCAGAGGUGGCCCAUCUCUCCUAAUAAGGGCUAUAACUUCUGCUGUGCUGGCAGAGGUGCCCUUCUCCAAACUUGCCAUCUGUCCCACCUCCUCUCCUGGCUACCAGCCUGAUAAGACAGAAAUAAAUACUGAAUACUUUGAGUUGCAAGAUAGACUUAGCAAGAGUCAGAGAAGUGUGCUUGGGAUCAGCAUCUAAGGGUACUCAAUAAAGUUGCCAGAUUGGAAGACUGGCUAAGGAAGAAGUCACCAAUCGAGAGCAUCUUCUCAGGACAAAAGCUUUAAUACCCUACCCAAAACUCCAGAGAAUGGGGACAACUUGCUGCCAGGCUUUUGGAAGUCUGAAAAAAAUAAUGGCUAAGCAGGGCUUGGAUGCACAAGCCAGCAAUGCCCAGCCUGAGGCAGGAGGGUCCCAAGGUCAAGGCCAGCCUUGACAUCUUAAAUGAGGCUAUCUCAAAAUAAAAAGUAAAACAGACUGGGGAUAUAGCUUAGAGGUUGAGCACCCCUGGGUUUUUGUCCCUGUACCAAUAGAAGAAGGAGGACAAGGAGGAAACAGUAUGGCUAGCUCUUGGAGGGGGUAACACCAACUUGCCCCUGAUAAAUGCCCCAGGAAGAUAUCUAAUGUAAGGUCAGAAGGAGACACUCUGGAGAACCUUGUUCCUCCCAAAGCCUCCAGGAGGCAGCUUGCCAAGGUCACUGUGAAUGAGUAGGUGACAGAGGUAUCAGCAACCCUAAGAAAUCUGGUGGGGAUUCUCUUCCCCCAGAGCCAAGGGCAGGGAAGGAAGGGUGUGGGGUCAUUGAAGUCUCUGGGAAGGUGGGGCCCCCAAUAGCAGAGCAAAAGAUUGGAAGGAUCUGGGUGUGUCUGCACACACCUUAAUCCCAGCAACUUGGGAGGCUGAGGCAGAAGGAUCAUAAAUUCAAGGCCAGCCUCAGCAAUUUAGUGAGGCCCUAAGAAACUUAGUGAGGUCCUAAGCAACUUACUGAAAUCUUGUCUUAAAAUAAAAAAUAAAAGCCAGGUGCAGUGGAGCAUACCUGUAAUCCCAGCGGCUCAGGAGGCUGAAGCAGGAGGAUUGCAAGUUCAAAGCCAGCCUCAGCAACUUAGCAAGGCCCUAAGCAACUUAAUGAGACCUUGUCUUGAAAUGAAAAAAGGGCUGGGAUGUGACUCAGUGGUUGAGUGACCCUGGGUUCAAUCUCAGUACCAAAGGGAAAAAAAAAGAAAGACAAAGAUAUAAAUAUUUCUCUAGACCUGGAUAUAUACACACACUUAAUUUUUUCCUGGUAUCUUCUCAUUUCUCCAGCUCUGAAGACUUGACCAAUUGAAGAUCCUACAACCUGGUUAGGGCGAGGACUCCAGCGGCUGGAUCAGCCCCUUCUGCUGUCCUGCAAGGACAGCUGCUGCGCCAGCCCCCGUGCCUGCAGUCCUAGGUCUCCAGUCCCAUCUGUUAGGUGUGCAGCUCACGAACUUUCCUGGAGGCCUGUUGCUCUUGCUAGUUUCUCAAAGUGUGUCCUACUGAAAAUAUUUCCCAAACGUGAAUUUCUACACUAGAAAACCCAGGCCUCCUUGUCAUAAGAACAGCUGAGAUUUCAUUACAGAGCAGAACUGACUGGGGCGACCUGGCUGGUAAGGAGUGGUGGUGCUUCUCUGUGGUCCCAACUACUUGGAGGCUGAAGUGAGAAGACUGCUAGAGUCCAGGAGUUCAAGAGCAGCCUGGGCAAAUAAUGAGAUGCCUGUCUCAAGAAAGGAAAGAGGCAAGCGAGGAAGGAGGGAACUGCAGCCUCCCAAUGACUUCAGCAGCACACCAUAAAUGUGAGCAAAAGCCAGUCUCCUGAUUCUGCUAGCCCCAUUUGGCCUCCAACACCUGCAGUCACCUCAACCCAUCAUCCCAGUCUAACCUGCCACGCUUGGCCACUGGUCUCUGGACAAACCAGUGGACUAAAGGUAACCACACCCCGAGGGGGCGGGGUACCUUCAGCUGUGCCAUCUCGCUUUCCUCUGUUGGCAGCCACCAGGCCGGGUCCAGGGCAAGGCGGAGGUGCCCAGGGCAGGGCAUUGGAAGAGGCACUCCUUUGCUAGGGUUGCUCUCACUCCUCCGUCUGAGAGCCGCCGCCCCCCUGCUCUUUGCAUCUGAGGCAUCUAUCUCCCUUGUCUCAUGCCAGUCCCAGGCUCGGGUCCCAGCUAGGGUGCGUUCUUCUGGUGUGAUAGAAAGAAUACCAGCCCCAGGAAGGGAGGAAGGAGAAGUAGAUAAUUUGUAGGGUGACCCCGGACUACUUGGGGAAGGGAAAGAAGUCAUACAGAAAAGUGAGACAGCAGUGAUUUGGUCUGUGGACAGGGGAAGAGCCGAGGCCUGCAGGGGUCUGGGAUAGGACCCACUAACAGGAUGAUGCCAGGGUAUGGUGAGCUGGCCAGGGCCCUGGCAGCUGGCAGGGCAACUAACUCUUGGCUUUAUCUCAGCCUGUUUUCACAGAGUCACAUUAGAAAGUGCAUCCUGGUUUGAGAAGGAGAAAGAAAAAUCAGAAAAUCUUUAAAUUAAACUACAAAUUCUGGGAUUGGGGAUGUAGCUCAGUGGUAGGGCACUUGCCUAACAUAAGCGAACAAACCAAACCUAUCCUCCCACACCUGUACUCCCAGCAGAAGAAUCAUAAGGUCAAGGUGACCCUGUCUCAAAAUAAAAAAGGACUGGGAGGCAUAGCUCAGUGGUGGAACACCCCUGGGUUCAUCUCCAGUACACACCUCCAAACCCAAAGUCACCUAUAAAUCCUCUGUACUAAGUUUUGCUUGUUGCUAUUUGUUUGUUUUUGUUUUUCAGUACUGGGAUCAAACCCAGGGCCUCACCCGUGCUGGGUGGGGUAGUAUCGCUACCUCUGAGCUAUCUCCCAGCCCUUGUGUAUUUAUUUGGUACUGGGAUUGAACCCAGGGGCAUUCUACCACUAAGCUGCAAUUCUGUCCUUUUUUAUGAGACAGGAUCUUGCUUAGUUGCUGAGGCUAGCUUCAAAUUUGUGAUCCUUCUGCCUCAAUCUCUCAAGUCACUGGAAUUAUAGGUAACUUAGGGCUCUUGAUAUCCACCAUCUUUUUUGAGGGAGAAUGUGUAUUGAAUUUAGCAACUUGACUUUGCAUAGUGUUUUUUAGGUUACAAAGUUCUCUGAUAUUGCUUUUUAAAAAACAUUUAUUUUUUAGUUGUAGGUGGACACAAUACCUUUUUAUUUUACUUUAUUUUUUUAAAGACAGAGAGAAUUUUUUAAAAUUUAUAUUUUAGUUUUCGAUGAACACAACAUCUUUAUUUUAUUUUUAUGUGGUGCUGAGGAUCGAACCCAGCGCAUGCCAGGCGAGCACGUUACCGCUUGAGCCACAUCCCCAGCCCCACCUUUUUAUUUUAUUUUUAUGUGGUGUUGAGGAUCAAACCCACUGCCUCACGCAUGCUAGGUGAGAGUGCUACCCCCGAGCCACAACCCAGCCCCAUCUGAUAUUGCUUUUUUAAGGCUCAAAAAUUUCUCUGUGCUUUUGCCCAUUUCUCUUCCCAAUUCCUAAAUAUCUCUUUCCCUUCCUAGUCUGCUGGUUGACAACCAUUUUUAAAGCAGUUUUAUUGAGAUAUAAAUGAUAGGCCAUACAAUUCAUGAAUUUAAGUUGUGCAAUUCAGUGGUUUUUACUAUAUUCAAAGUUGCAUGACCUUCGCAAUAAUCACUUUUUGAAUAUUUCCUUCACCCCUAAAAGAAAUUCUGAGCUGGGUGUGGUGGCAUAUGCCUGUAAUCCCAGUCACUUAGGAGGCUGAGGCAGGAGGAUUGCAGGUUUGAAGCCAGCCUUAGCAAUUUAGCAAGGCUGUAAGCGACCUAGUGAGUCCCUUUCUCAAAAUAAAAAAUCAGAAAGGUCUUGGGAUGUGACUCAGAGUGGUACUAAAAAAUAAAAUACAAAAAUUCUGGAUCCAUUAAUAGUCACUUCCUAUCUGCCCCUAGCCUCUACCCCUGACUGUGGGCAGCCACUGAUGGCUUCUGCAUCUGUAGAUCUGCCUGUUCUGGGCUUUCUGUUUUUUGCCCUGGCUGGAACCUGGUACAUCUAGGCAAAGGCUCCACAGUAUAGCCUUUUUAUUGACUUUUUUUCUUUCCUUUGGUGGUGCUGAGGAUUGAACCCAGGGCCUUGUGCAUGAAAGGCAAGCGCUCUAUCAACUGAGCUAUAUCCCCAGCCCCUUUAUUAACGGUUUUGAGACAGAUUCUUGCUAAUAAGUUGAACUUGGAUCCUCCUGCUGAAACAGACUGAAUCUGCCCCUCCUCCCCACUUCGAACAGACUCCUCCUGCUGAGAAACACUGAAGGGCUAAGGCCCCAUGGCCAGGUGCCCAGGAAGUGAGCAGAGAUAGCCCCUGCCCUGUCUUAACAGGGCAACUGAAUCUACCUAUGUGUGACACUUGCUUCUGUGGGGCCAGUGGGGAGAAGCAAACUGAAUUCUCCCAGUUUGGUCAAACUGCAUAAAGUUCAUUUUUCCUUUUUCCAACUUGUUCUUAUUUCUGACACAGGCAAGCCAUCCAGGAUCCAGGCAGGACCCCUGGGCCAGACUGCAGGUGACACUGCCUCAGCCUCUUGGGUAGCUGGGAUUAUAGGCAUGUGCCAUCAUGCCCAGUUUCUGUUUUCUGUUUUUUUCAGCACUGGGGACUGAAUCCCGGGGUGCUUCACCACUGAACUACAUCCCCACCCCACCCCUUUUUAAAAUUUUAUUAUUAUUUUUUUAGUUGGAGUUGGACACAAUACUUUCUUUUAUUUAUUUAUUUUUAUGUGGUGCUGAGGAUUGAACUCAGUCUCUCCCAGGUGCCAGAUAAGUGCUCCACCACUGCUUUUCGUUAACAAGCACUUCAUUUCCAAGAGCUUUUCGUUUUUUAAUUUUGAGACACUGUCUAAAUUGCCGAGGCUGGCUCUGAAUUUGCGAUCCUUCCUCAGUCUCCCUAGUUGUUGGGAUUAUAGGUGAGUGCCGCUGUGACCUGCUCUUUUUUUUUUUUUUUUG